This 73-nucleotide transfer RNA is filed under the name Lactobacillus phage Lenus. It matches the Rfam family "tRNA". Rfam says of the family: Transfer RNA (tRNA) molecules are approximately 80 nucleotides in length. Their secondary structure includes four short double-helical elements and three loops (D, anti-codon, and T loops). The record is from Rfam by way of RNAcentral. Lineage: Duplodnaviria; Heunggongvirae; Uroviricota; Caudoviricetes.
GCGAAUAUAGUGUAGUUGGCUAACACAUUAGAUUUCCAAUCUGAUAACAUCGGUUCGAGUCCGAUUAUUCGCU